CUACGGGUCGCAGCAGUCGAGAAUCUUCCGCAAUGGACGAAAGUCUGACGGAGCGACGCCGCGUGCGGGAUGAAGGCCUUCGGGUUGUAAACCGCUGUCAGUGGGGAGGAAAUGCAUCAGGGUUCUCCCUGGUGUUUGACCGAUCCGCAGAGGAAGCGCAGGCUAAGUUCGUGCCAGCAGCCGCGGUAACACGAACUGCGCGAACGUUAUUCGGAAUCACUGGGCUUAAAGAGUUCGUAGGCGGCCUUUCAAGUCGGGUGUGAAAUCCCUCGGCUCAACCGAGGAAUUGCGCCUGAUACUGUUGGGCUUGAGGGGGAUAGGGGUGAGCGGAACUGAUGGUGGAGCGGUGAAAUGCGUUGAUAUCAUCAGGAACACCGGUGGCGAAGGCGGCUCACUGGAUCUCUUCUGACGCUGAGGAACGAAAGCUAGGGGAGCGAACGGGAUUAGAUACCCGCGUAGUC
Molecule: ribosomal RNA, 461 nt
Filed under: uncultured bacterium
Lineage: Bacteria
Description: partial 16S ribosomal RNA
Rfam family: Bacterial small subunit ribosomal RNA
Source: RNAcentral